This 468-nucleotide ribosomal RNA is filed under the name uncultured bacterium. RNAcentral's name for it is "partial 16S ribosomal RNA". It matches the Rfam family "Bacterial small subunit ribosomal RNA", at positions 28 to 507 of the family's 1533-position model. The record is from RNAcentral.
GACGAACGCUGGCGGCGUGCUUAACACAUGCAAGUCGAACGGAAAGGCCCUGCUUUUGUGGGGUGCUCGAGUGGCGAACGGGUGAGUAACACGUGAGUAACCUGCCCUUGACUUUGGGAUAACUUCAGGAAACUGGGACUAAUACCGGAUAGGAGCUCCUGCUGCAUGGUGGGGGUUGGAAAGUUUCGGCGGUUGGGGAUGGACUCGCGGCUUAUCAGCUUGUUGGUGGGGUAGUGGCUUACCAAGGCUUUGACGGGUAGCCGGCCUGAGAGGGUGACCGGCCACAUUGGGACUGAGAUACGGCCCAGACUCCUACGGGAGGCAGCAGUGGGGAAUAUUGCACAAUGGGCGGAAGCCUGAUGCAGCAACGCCGCGUGCGGGAUAACGGCCUUCGGGUUGUAAACCGCUUUCGCCUGUGACGAAGCGUGAGUGACGGUAAUGGGUAAAGAAGCACCGGCUAACUACGUG